UGUGUAGGCGGAUCGUUAAGUGCCUUGUGAAAUCCCACGGCUUAACCGUGGAACGGCUGGGCAGACUGGCGAUCUUGAGCCAUCCAGGGGCGACCGGAACAAACGGUGGAGCGGUGAAAUGCGUAGAUAUCGUUUGGAACGCCAACGGUGAAAACAGGUCGCUGGGGAUGUGCUGACGCUGAGACACGAAAGCCAGGGGAGCAAACGGGAUUAGAUACCCCGGUAGUCCUGGCCCUAAACGAUGUCCACUAGAUCGCAGGCCCUUGACGGGUUUGCGGUCGAAGCAAAAGUGCUAAGUGGACCGCCUGGGAAGUACGGUCGCAAGGCUAAA
This 331-nucleotide ribosomal RNA is filed under the name uncultured bacterium. Its description in RNAcentral is "bacterial SSU rRNA". It matches the Rfam family "Bacterial small subunit ribosomal RNA", at positions 568 to 898 of the family's 1533-position model. The record is from RNAcentral.